GACGUAGGGCGCGAGCGUUGUCCGGAUUUAUUGGGCGUAAAGAGCUCGUAGGCGGCUCGUUGCGUCGGCUGUGAAAACCCGCAGCUCAACUGUGGGCUUGCAGCUGAUACGGGCGGGCUUGGAUUCGGUAGGGGAGACUGGAAUUCCUGGUGUAGCGGUGAAAUGCGCAGAUAUCAGGAGGAACACCGGUGGCGAAGGCGGGUCUCUGGGCAGUAACUGACGCUGAGGAGCGAAAGCGUGGGGAGCGAACAGG
RNAcentral lists this ribosomal RNA (253 nucleotides) under uncultured bacterium. RNAcentral's name for it is "partial 16S ribosomal RNA". It matches the Rfam family "Bacterial small subunit ribosomal RNA", at positions 524 to 776 of the family's 1533-position model. The record is from RNAcentral.